This 328-nucleotide ribosomal RNA is filed under the name uncultured eukaryote. RNAcentral's name for it is "partial 18S ribosomal RNA". It matches the Rfam family "Eukaryotic small subunit ribosomal RNA", at positions 1470 to 1796 of the family's 1831-position model. The record is from RNAcentral.
CCCUUAGAUGUUCUGGGCUGCACGCGCGCUACACUGAUGCACUCAACGAGUUUACGACCUUGCCCGAUAGGGUUGGGUAAUCUUUUUAAAAUGCAUCGUGAUGGGGAUAGAUUAUUGCAAUUAUUAAUCUUCAACGAGGAAUUCCUAGUAAGCGCAAGUCAACAGCCUGCGUUGAUUACGUCCCUGCCCUUUGUACACACCGCCCGUCGCUACUACUGAUUGGAUGUUUAAGCGAGGUUCUCGAACUGCUGGCGACUUAGCUUCGGUGAGGUCGCAGUGUGGGAAGUGAACCUAGCUUUGGUGUCUAGAGGAAGUAAAAGUCGUAACA